UUGAGCAACCCACCCCCUUUGUCUAACAACUAGAAAUUAGACACCUUUUAAUAUUUACGCAUGCCUAGUCUCUACAAUAUUGAAUUGUUAAUAUUGUAACAAGCGCCAAAAGUUAGGAAUGUAAGGGAGUUAAACACACCGAAAGCUAAACCGGGGAGUUAGAGUCAGAACUGUGGGAUAGUGUUUCUUAUCAGUUCUUCAAACACUGUUUCUAACAUAACACAGCUGGUACCAGCCCCUCACUUGUCUCACUCUUUCCCAGGGCUUUGUGAGACAAUGCUGCUUCUCAGUAUUUUUCCACUCUGGGAUUACCCAGAAACCACUGUUAGCCUGACUUCAAUCAGGUUGGCAUAACUGGUUUUGUGCUACAUCUUUAUUCAGGCCUAACACUACUACAAGGAGCUGCACACCAUCCUUGGUGGUGACUACACCACUAAGAGCCCCAUGGAUACUUCGGGGGGACUGGAGGCAUCAGCCAGUGGAGUCAACCCUGAGGAUGAAGUGGUGGAUGAGGAAGUGGAGUUGGAGGAGGCUGUGGGACAUGCGACAAGGUCAUCCAGUGGCGUGCUCAUGAAAUACAGCAGGACCAACCGCAUUGUGUCCAUAAGGCUCAUCACCAUACUGGCCAUCAAUUCAGGAUCCAUGCUAUCAGGUAGAGAUGGUGGGUGCACAGUUUACAGGCAGCUGUUAAAAAAUGGCACCAAACCAAGUCAAGCCCAUGGAUGAUGGACUGGAAAGAACUGCAUCAUGACACGGAUUCUCCCAUCUGCUUUCAAGACUCAGAUCCAGAGGGAGUACCAUUUUGAGCCAUUAUUGAAGCAUGUGAAAUGGCACCCACAACAGACAAUUAAGAG
Molecule: long non-coding RNA, 854 nt
Organism: Mauremys mutica (yellowpond turtle)
Lineage: Eukaryota; Metazoa; Chordata; Testudines; Geoemydidae
Exons: 4
Source: RefSeq, a predicted model, not a curated record